RNAcentral lists this long non-coding RNA (295 nucleotides) under Gossypium raimondii (Peruvian cotton). RNAcentral's name for it is "long non-coding RNA (GRAI_LNC006212)". Lineage: Eukaryota; Viridiplantae; Streptophyta; Magnoliopsida; Malvales; Malvaceae. The record is from RNAcentral.
AAGUGCAAUCUUACAAAUCGUCCUAUACACCGCAUUAUUUUCCUAUUUAUUAGUUUCUUAGUAAUGUGAUUCAAUAAUGUUUAUAUACAUAGUUGAUGGAUUAUUGUUGUUGUACAUAUUGAGACAUAUUGAAUGGAAACCACCUCCUGCAUUGAAUCAUGCAAAGUAAAUAAAUUAAUUGUGUUUGCUGGAGUUGGAGAGUGGAUCUGGUAGUUUAACGGUGGGAGCCUUAUCCACACCCCUCCUUGAAUAUUCCGUCCAUCUUCUCGCAGCUGCGGCAGCCCUUUUUGCUCUC